Molecule: non-coding RNA, 209 nt
Filed under: Clostridium chauvoei
Lineage: Bacteria; Bacillati; Bacillota; Clostridia; Eubacteriales; Clostridiaceae
Description: T-box sequence
Rfam family: T-box leader
About the family: Uncharged tRNA acts as the effector for transcription antitermination of genes in the T-box leader family. T-boxes are found upstream of many aminoacyl-tRNA synthetase genes and some amino acid biosynthetic genes usually in Gram-positive bacteria.
Source: RNAcentral
GAAAAUACGUUGAAGAGAAGAGUAAACUAAAGCUUCAUUUACAGAGAGAGAUUACGUUUGGUGUAAGUAUUCUUAUUUGAAAUUAGUUGAAGACCCCCUCUGAGUGACUCUAAUAAAGUCCGUUUUAUCACGUUACGAUAACUACUUUAAGAGGCCUUUUUAGGCAAUUAAGGGUGGAACCGCGGGAAUAUUACGCUCUCGUCCCUUUU